RNAcentral lists this non-coding RNA (131 nucleotides) under uncultured Roseateles sp. RNAcentral describes it as "ZMP/ZTP riboswitch". It matches the Rfam family "ZMP/ZTP riboswitch aptamer (pfl RNA motif)". From Rfam's summary of the family: Previously known as pfl RNA. Lineage: Bacteria; Pseudomonadati; Pseudomonadota; Betaproteobacteria; Burkholderiales; Sphaerotilaceae. The record is from RNAcentral.
UUCGCGCGACUGGCGAUGAAGGCUGACUCCGUCCAGAGUCAGUCCAAGGUGGCAGACCACCGGGGAGCGCGAACCACUCAGGCGUCUUUUCCGACCCUGGGUGGCAUCCAGCCGUUCGCCUGGGCAGCCUU